Small nuclear RNA from Sorex araneus (European shrew), 192 nucleotides. RefSeq annotates it as U2 spliceosomal RNA. The record is from RefSeq and is a predicted model, not a curated record. NCBI's taxonomy places the organism in Eukaryota, Metazoa, Chordata, Mammalia, Eulipotyphla, Soricidae. The transcript has a single exon.
AUAAAAUAGGCAAGGAAUUGGAGUGGAAGAGCAGAUCAAAGAGAUAUUAUCAGUUUAAUAUUUGAUAUGUCCUCUAUCUGAGGACAACAUAUUAAAUGGAUUUUUGGAGCAGGUAAAUGGAAUAGAAACUUGCUCUAUCCACUUCAUGCAUCGACCUGGUAUUUCAGUUCCUCCAGGAAGAGUGUGCUCCCU